CCUACGGGAGACAGCAGUAGGGAAUCUUCCACAAUGGGCGAAAGCCUGAUGGAGCAACGCCGCGUGGGUGAAGAAGGUCUUCGGAUCGUAAAACCCUGUUGUUAGAGAAGAAAGUGCGUGAGAGUAACUGUUCACGUUUCGACGGUAUCUAACCAGUAAGCUACGGCUAACUACGGGCCAGCAGCCGUGGGAAUACGUAGGUGGCAAGCGUUAUCCGGUGUUAUUGGGCGUAAAGGGAACGCAGGCGGUCUUUUAAGUCUGAUGUGAAAGGCUUCGGCUUAACCGGAGUAGUGCAUUGGAAACUGGGAGACUUGAGUGCAGGAGAGGAGAGUGGAACCCGAUGUGUAGCGGUGAAAUGCGUAGAUAUAUGGAAGAACACCAGUGGCGAAAGCGGCUCUCCGGUCUGUAACUGACGCUGAGGUUCGAAAGCGUGGGUAGCAAACAGGAUUAGAUACCCCUGUAGUC
This 465-nucleotide ribosomal RNA is filed under the name uncultured bacterium. RNAcentral describes it as "partial 16S ribosomal RNA". It matches the Rfam family "Bacterial small subunit ribosomal RNA", at positions 338 to 795 of the family's 1533-position model. The record is from RNAcentral.